AAGAAAACAAAUGAAAGCUCUCGAAGAAAGAAGAGAGAGAGAAAUAUCAAGAAUGAUGCACAGAAAAAAGAAAGUGUUAGUACUUUUGAUUUAUUCUUAAUUUUGUUCCCUUUUUUUGUCAGUGGAUUUUUGUACAUAUAGAAGCUGAAUUGAUCAUAACAUGUUAUGUAGAAGCUGAAUUGGUGCAUUGUUGACCUGUCUUUAAUUUGAUUUUUUCCCCUCCUUAAUAUUGUUGCUUCUGUUUGGGCACCGCUCAAAGGAAUCUUAUGCUUUUGAAUCUAGAUUCAAAUAUAGUAUUAUUUGAUUACAAUAAGCUAAGGUGUCUAAUGUUCGUGAUGAGGAAAAUAUGGUGAAAAAUUUAAGGUCGAAAUUGCAAUAAGAGAACCAUGAUUUCACAUUCAUUAAAAAUAAAGAUCAAUUGAAGCCUUGAUCUUUGUUUAUGUUGGUUUCAUAGACAGACUCCAUCAUCUAUGCCAUCAAAUGAAAUGUGAAUAAUCUGUUUUUUCCUCUUUGAAAUAAGGAGUAUUUCCAAUUUUAUUAAUACUUGAAACAAUUUUGUCUUUCUCAUAUUCUUGUAUCUUUAGGGUUAAUAAUUUUACACAAGAAUCUACUCAAUUUAAUCACAUAUUUUUGUUACUCUUUGGUUUUCUCUUCAAAUAUACUAUCAUGUGUAACUUCUCAAAAUGGAUCAAUGAUCGAAUUCUAUGUUUCAUGGUGAACCUAAUUGGUUAGUUCCAAUUAAGUAAAUCAAUACUUUAGUACUAGAAACAAUGGUGUAUGUCCACAUGGGAAAAUUUGGUAUGCUGCAUUUACAGUGUUUUGUAUGAGUACAUGUGAAUGUGUGAUCAUAUUUUCUUGCCUCUAGUCUAUGUCUCCUUUUGUGAUUUUUGUUCAAUUCAGCUUUUAAUUAAACAAAGUUUUUUGUCCUUUAUUUUUUGUAUUUAGUUAAAUGGUUUAAUUGACAAUGUUUCAUGUGUGGACACUUUUUACAGGAUACAAGUCAAACUUCAGAUAAUUUUGAGGAAGUGUAGUUCUGUGUUGCCUAGUAUUCUUUAGAUUUACUGACUUAAUGGUUUGAUGUUUUUGUGAUGACUCUUCCUAAUAAAGCUGAUAAUUAGGACAAAGCUCCAAUUGAUAUAUGUUAGGUAAUUUCUUUUACCCUUUUUUGCUACAAGCCUACAUUCAUUUUUAU
This 1192-nucleotide long non-coding RNA is filed under the name Glycine max (soybean). RNAcentral's name for it is "long non-coding RNA (GMAX_LNC000472)". Lineage: Eukaryota; Viridiplantae; Streptophyta; Magnoliopsida; Fabales; Fabaceae. The record is from RNAcentral.